CAUGCCUUAGUACGGCGAGUGAAGCGGCAAAAGCUCAAAUUUGAAAUCUGGUACCUUCGGUGCCCGAGUUGUAAUUUGGAGAGGGCAACUUUGGGGCCGUUCCUUGUCUAUGUUCCUUGGAACAGGACGUCAUAGAGGGUGAGAAUCCCGUGUGGCGAGGAGUGCGGUUCUUUGUAAAGUGCCUUCGAAGAGUCGAGUUGUUUGGGAAUGCAGCUCUAAGUGGGUGGUAAAUUCCAUCUAAAGCUAAAUAUUGGCGAGAGACCGAUAGCGAACAAGUACAGUGAUGGAAAGAUGAAAAGAACUUUGAAAAGAGAGUGAAAAAGUACGUGAAAUUGUUGAAAGGGAAGGGCAUUUGAUCAGACAUGGUGUUUUGUGCCCUCUGCUCCUUGUGGGUAGGGGAAUCUCGCAUUUCACUGGGCCAGCAUCAGUUUUGGUGGCAGGAUAAAUCCAUAGGAAUGUAGCUUGCCUCGGUAAGUAUUAUAGCCUGUGGGAAUACUGCCAGCUGGGACUGAGGACUGCGACGUAAGUCAAGGAUGCUGGCAUAAUGGUUAUAUGCCGCCCGUCU
This 565-nucleotide ribosomal RNA is filed under the name Saccharomyces cerevisiae (brewer's yeast). RNAcentral describes it as "eukaryotic LSU rRNA". It matches the Rfam family "Eukaryotic large subunit ribosomal RNA", at positions 73 to 654 of the family's 3401-position model. Lineage: Eukaryota; Fungi; Ascomycota; Saccharomycetes; Saccharomycetales; Saccharomycetaceae. The record is from RNAcentral.